GACAGAGGCCUCAAGCGUUAGGCGGAAUCACUGGGCUUAAAGCGUGUGUAGGCGGAUCGUUAAGUGUCUUGUGAAAUCCCACGGCUCACCCGUGGAACUGCUGGGCAUACUGGCGAUCUUGGGCCAACUAGGGGCAGCCGGAACAAGCGGUGGAGCGGUGAAAUGCGUAGAUAUCACUUGGAACGCCAAUGGUGAAAACAGGUAGCUGGGGUUGUGCUGACGCUGAGACACGAAAGCUAGGGGAGCAAACGGG
This 253-nucleotide ribosomal RNA is filed under the name uncultured bacterium. RNAcentral's name for it is "partial 16S ribosomal RNA". It matches the Rfam family "Bacterial small subunit ribosomal RNA", at positions 524 to 776 of the family's 1533-position model. The record is from RNAcentral.